Long non-coding RNA from Mauremys reevesii (Reeves's turtle), 1443 nucleotides. RefSeq lists it as uncharacterized. NCBI's taxonomy places the organism in Eukaryota, Metazoa, Chordata, Testudines, Geoemydidae. The record is from RefSeq and is a predicted model, not a curated record. The transcript has 4 exons.
AGUGGGGGCUUGAGCCCUGUUUGUUUAUUGCACCAGCUGAAAUCUAGAUGAAAGGAGAAGUCUGGGAGUUGUGAAGUAAGGAAAUGUUCCUUCUCUUUGAAAAGCAAGGAAAUACUGGAAUUCUGUAGCUAUAGAUAGCUGAGACCUGACCAUGGAGUUGGGGGGAAAAGGUAGGUUACCUUAUUUGGACUUGCAGCCUUGUAAAGGAGAGGAGAUGUAGACUGGAAUAACACUAGUGACAGGCCCUGGAUCUCUGCUCUACAUUCAUUUAUCACCUGAAGGUGAUCUGUUGUGGAAUAUUCUGAUUAAUGGCUCGUCUGUUCUCUUGGAAGGUUGGAAUCCAGCAUUAGAGUGGGCUGCUUGCUCAAUAUCUUAAGGUACGUUUGCACUCCUUAUGGCCAUCCUGCGCGCCUACUGUAUGUGUGAUACAAAUCUGAAGACGUUUGCCAAAUCUCCCAGUCCCAGGCAAUAUACCAGCUAAAUAAACAUGGAUUGAAAAGUGCAAUUCUACUUUGAAAUAGGGCUCUCUAAAAAUGGCAUUACCAACAGACAUUCCUGAAACAACGUUGGACCAAUUGUGCUGCAUUUACACAUGAAAAGAUUUUUGUUUUUUUUCUAACAUCAAGCCCUGUAAACUCUGCCUGGACUCUGAGAGUUAAGCUGGGUUCUCAUUCUUGCGGAUCAUUGCUAGUAAUGAAGGUUUUGCAAACCAAAUUAGUCCCUGUGUAAUACCAAUGCAAUCCCUUUUACCCUCAUUGGUCAUAAGGAAUUAUGUUAAUGCAUAAGGUGGAGUAGAAUCCAUCUGCCUUCUCUCCCGCUCCGCUCCUCUCCCCCCCCUCCCCCAAUGAAUUCUGCUUGGCUUACAAAAAUACCAUUUUAAAAACUUAUACAAAGUGAGUAGAUUUGAGGAAGGUGGUGUCAUUUUUAGACAGCCAUUUUGCAAAAAAAAAUUGUUUAAUUUUAAAUAUUUAAGCCAUUUCUUAGGUUGAAGACCUUUCAAUCUAAAGUGCUCUUUGAAAAGGUCAGAUCUAAACACAGUUCAGAUGCAGAUCAGAACUCUGCCAAUGGAAUCCAUCCCUAGAAACAAGUCUUUUUAGAAUAAUAAUUUUGUUCAACUCUCUGAUAGAGGCAGCUUAUCUAAAAUGGGGAUUUGUGGCUCUCAAGAUGCUGUUUUUCAAGCCAAAAUCUGCCAAGCACAAGGACAGUGGUGGGUGGGAAAGGCCUGGUAUGUUAUGCUAAAGACUAAAACUGUAAAUAUGUAAUACUCAAUGCAAACAGCUGUUGCCUUGGUGACAAGACAAACUCAAACUGACAUCAUGAGACAUUAUUAGAUUUCUUUCCAAGGUACAUGUGAGCUUGCUUGGCAAUUAUCCUAUCGGGCGGGCACCAUGUGGAGUAUGAUGGGAACCUGCACAGCCAUUGCUUGCGGAAGUGGCUGCCCAG